Molecule: long non-coding RNA, 985 nt
Filed under: Dromaius novaehollandiae (emu)
Lineage: Eukaryota; Metazoa; Chordata; Aves; Casuariiformes; Dromaiidae
Description: lncRNA (ENSDNVG00000002253.1)
Source: RNAcentral
CCGGAAGCGGCGCGCCGCGGCUUCCGGUUGGCGGCGGCGGUUGCUCGGUAGCAGCGGCGCAGCCGAGGCCUCUGGCUGCGCGGUGGGGAAGCGGGGCCGCCGGCGGCUGCCGCGGGGCGGUUCUCGCGCCGCCCGAGACUCUCGCAGCGGGAGCCGAAGCCCGUCGCGGCUGGGCAGAGCGUGUGCUAGGAUAGCUGAGGAGAUGGAUGAUUUUUUUGUCUGCUGGCUAAUCACCCAAGCUGGCAAAGAUAUUCUGAGAAAAGAAUCCCAAGGGAAGAAAUGCUGCAAAUGCACAGAAGAGCAUUUGCACACGUUUGCAAAUGCACAUCUUCAUCAAGGACAUAAGGCAGUGAGUGCCAAUGAACGACUGACCUCUCGGAUGACUCAUAUUCCCUCAUUCUAUAGGAAACUGUGCUGGUAAAGAGGUAAAGAAACUGGAUACAAACUAUAAUGCCAUAUAUACCAUAUAAUAUAUAAUACCAUAUAAUGUCUAUGGCAGUUAUAGAUAAGACAGGGGCUCUGUGACAUUGUGAUGUUUAUUUUGGGUAAAAAGCUGAUGAAUUUACUGAUAUGUACAUGACCUGAAUAUUGCUAGUGUGGAUCUUUGUUUUAAUAUAUGUUGUUCCUUUUGAGAGUCAGUUUAUGUGGAAACCCUGUCCUCUGUUCUAGUGUUAACUCAGCUGGUUGGUUCAGUGACUAAACACGCACAAAAAUAGUUGCUCUUUUUUUCCUGCCCAUAARGAGCAGAAUGAACUGUUUACUUUGUUUUAUCUGAAGAGCAUCUAUACUUCAUUAUUGUAAAGUACAGGAGGAAGCUCUUGGGUGUUUUCUGAGACGCAGAGUGAUGCUAAAUCUUUUUGGUUUGAUGGAAGAGCUAUGACCUUACUUGAAGAUCAGUUUUUUCACAAAUGUCUUGGAUAAUCACUGAUUGUUUUCUAUUAGAAUAACACAUUUAUAAGAGCAGGGUAGAUGAAUGUCCCUCAGU